This 70-nucleotide transfer RNA is filed under the name Lithobates zweifeli (Zweifel's frog). RNAcentral's name for it is "Rana zweifeli (Zweifel's frog) tRNA-Val". It matches the Rfam family "tRNA". From Rfam's summary of the family: Transfer RNA (tRNA) molecules are approximately 80 nucleotides in length. Their secondary structure includes four short double-helical elements and three loops (D, anti-codon, and T loops). The record is from RNAcentral. Lineage: Eukaryota; Metazoa; Chordata; Amphibia; Anura; Ranidae.
CCAAAAUGUAGCUUAACCAAAGCCCUCCGCUUACACCGGAGAUAUAUCUGUUCAAACCAGGUCAUUUUGA